RNAcentral lists this microRNA precursor (103 nucleotides) under Marmota monax (woodchuck). Lineage: Eukaryota; Metazoa; Chordata; Mammalia; Rodentia; Sciuridae. The record is from RNAcentral.
AGAGGGAUAACUGGGUCAAAUGGUGGUUACAUUCCCAGAUUUUCAAGGAAUCUCCACACUGCUUUCAAUAUUGGCUACACCAAUUUGCAGUCCCACCAGUAAU